UCCCCAAAUCCCACAGCAUCCAAUCAAAGCAGCGGCAGCCUGUCCUCCCUCGGAUGAACCCGUUCAGAAAGAAAACCCUCACAUGUGAGUGCUGCUUUGCAAAUUAACUUUCUGAGACCCCUCCACACGUGACAGUCAGGGGACUUGUUUCGUGAUGCUCUGUGUGGAGGUGGGGCUGCAGGGGGCUCCUUCUACAGUGACCUGUUGGGUUUGGCCGCGGAGGCUCUCAAGGCCACAGUCUUGGGUGUGGCUUCCUGAAGGGGCCGCUAAAGCCAAACCCCUGCUUCUGUCCUGUUCAGUAACAUGGCUCACCAGGUGACAGGUAGAGGCGGCAGGAGUGAGGGAAAAGCCAUAAAAGGCAUGUGUCCCCUUGACUGUGGGCCACUGUGCCCUCCUCCUGGGAGCAAGGCUCAUACCACACACUCAAUGGGAGCAAUGAUGCAUAUGUCAUCAGCAAGGAGCACUGUCAUGAAUCUGGUGGCCCAGAGACCCCCUGCGUUUACCUGCGUGCAUCCCAGCUGCAGAAGACCAUGACGGCUACUGCAGAAGCCCUGCACAGCUCUGUUUCGCACUGCCUGCACGCUGUGGGUAGUGGGGCUGGGGGCUCCACCCUCGCCUUCCUCCCACAUGUAGGGAACAGUCCUUGGGUUAUUGCAGCAACCAUCAAGCCACACUCCCAGCAGACACCAAGUACGCUCCACCAGGGAGGCACCAUCCCAAAACCCUAAAUGGCUCAAAGAGAAGGUGGUCUCAGGAAGAAAGCCCAAAGUACUCUAGGGGGCUACUAAAAUGUCAGCGUGAAGGAAUGUGAGCCUUCUAGAUGCUAGAUUCAAUGCGCCCCCUUUCCACAACACUUUCAAUCUUGGGUGAGUCAUUCAACCUUGCAGAGCUCGGUUUCCUCUUAUGCAAAUCGAGGGUGCAAUAUCUGCUUUGUGUUAGGGUUAUGGGGAGAAGAGAUGAUAAUAAAAAUGGACUUGGGACAUCUAUCCUGGUGUUGACCCUCAAUAAACAUUCAUUUCCUUCUCUCCUUUCUUAAUCGAAAGGCUCUCUGGAUGCAAUGAGGGAUUUUACAGGUUAUGAUUUGCAUGCCUGGUAAAUUUAGUGGUGAAAUC
This 1112-nucleotide long non-coding RNA is filed under the name Marmota monax (woodchuck). The record is from RNAcentral. Lineage: Eukaryota; Metazoa; Chordata; Mammalia; Rodentia; Sciuridae.